Molecule: ribosomal RNA, 253 nt
Filed under: uncultured bacterium
Lineage: Bacteria
Description: partial 16S ribosomal RNA
Rfam family: Bacterial small subunit ribosomal RNA
Source: RNAcentral
UACAGAGGGGGCGAGCGUUGUUCGGAAUUACUGGGCGUAAAGGGCGCGUAGGCGGCCUGCUAAGUCAUACGUGAAAUCCCUCGGCUCAACCGAGGAACUGCGUCUGAUACUGGUUGGCUUGAAUUCGGGAGAGGGAUGCGGAAUUCCAGGUGUAGCGGUGAAAUGCGUAGAUAUCUGGAAGAACACCGGUGGCGAAGGCGGCAUCCUGGACCGAGAUUGACGCUGAUGCGCGAAAGCCAGGGGAGCAAACGGG